AGCAGCCGCGGUAAUUCCAGCUCCAAUAGCGUAUAUUAAAGUUGCUGCAGUUAAAAAGCUCGUAGUUGAAUUUCGGGGUCAAUAUGUUGGUCGUGCCUCGGUACGUACUAGCUUAUUGGUUUCUUCCUUCUGACGAACCAUAAUGUCAUUUAUUUGGUGUUAUGGGGAAUCAGGACUGUUACUUUGAAAAAAUUAGAGUGUUUAAAGCAGGCUCACGCUUGAAUACAUUAGCAUGGAAUAAUGAAAUAGGACGUUUGAUUCUAUUUUGUUGGUUUCUAGGAUCGACGUAAUGAUUAAUAGGGAUAGUUGGGGGCAUUAGUAUUCAAUUGUCAGAGGUGAAAUUCUUGGAUUUAUUGAAGACUAACUACUGCGAAAGCAUUUGCCAAGGAUGUUUUCAUUAAUCAAGAACGAAAGUUAGGGGAUCGAAGACGAUCAGAUACCGUCGUAGUCUUAACCAUAAACUAUGCCGACUAGGGAUCGGAUGAUGUUAAUUUUUUAAUGACUCAUUCGGCGCCUUAAC
RNAcentral lists this unclassified non-coding RNA (520 nucleotides) under uncultured Glomus. RNAcentral's name for it is "SSU rRNA". It matches the Rfam family "Eukaryotic small subunit ribosomal RNA", at positions 569 to 1092 of the family's 1831-position model. Lineage: Eukaryota; Fungi; Glomeromycota; Glomeromycetes; Glomerales; Glomeraceae. The record is from RNAcentral.